UAUGGCGACCGGCGCACGGGUGAGUAACGCGUAUCCAACCUGCCCUUUACUAUGGGACAGCCCGUCGAAAGGCGGAUUAAUACCGUAUGUUGUCAUGUUGAUGCAUAUUUUCAUGACCAAAGGCUUCGGCCGGUAAAGGAUGGGGAUGCGUCUGAUUAGCUUGCCGGCGGGGUAACGGCCCACCGGGGCGACGAUCAGUAGGGGUUCUGAGAGGAAGGUCCCCCACAUUGGAACUGAGACACGGUCCAAACUCCUACGGGAGGCAGCAG
Molecule: ribosomal RNA, 269 nt
Filed under: uncultured bacterium
Lineage: Bacteria
Description: partial 16S ribosomal RNA
Rfam family: Bacterial small subunit ribosomal RNA
Source: RNAcentral